Molecule: ribosomal RNA, 484 nt
Filed under: uncultured bacterium
Lineage: Bacteria
Description: partial 16S ribosomal RNA
Rfam family: Bacterial small subunit ribosomal RNA
Source: RNAcentral
AUUGAACGCUGGCGGCAGGCCUAACACAUGCAAGUCGAGCGGAUGAAGGGAGCUUGCUCCUGGAUUCAGCGGCGGACGGGUGAGUAAUGCCUAGGAAUCUGCCUGGUAGUGGGGGAUAACGUCCGGAAACGGGCGCUAAUACCGCGUACGUCCUGAGGGAGAAAGUGGUGGAUCUUCGGACCUCACGCUAUCAGAUGAGCCUAGGUCGGAUUAGCUAGUUGGUGGGGUAAAGGCCUACCAAGGCGACGAUCCGUAACUGGUCUGAGAGGAUGAUCAGUCACACUGGAACUGAGACACGGUCCAGACUCCUACGGGAGGCAGCAGUGGGGAAUAUUGGACAAUGGGCGAAAGCCUGAUCCAGCCAUGCCGCGUGUGUGAAGAAGGUCUUCGGAUUGUAAAGCACUUUAAGUUGGGAGGAAGGGCAGUAAGUUAAUACCUUGCUGUUUUGACGUUACCAACAGAAUAAGCACCGGCUAACUUCGUG